CGGCUUGGCGGCAGCUACACAUGCAGUCGAGCGGUAACAGGAGAAAGCUUGCUUUCUUGCUGACGAGCGGCGGACGGGUGAGUAAUGUAUGGGGAUCUGCCCGAUAGAGGGGGAUAACUACUGGAAACGGUAGCUAAUACCGCAUGACGUCUACGGACCAAAGCAGGGGCUCUUCGGACCUUGCGCUAUCGGAUGAACCCAUAUGGUAUUAGGCUAUGGUUAGGUGCAGGUCACUGGCCUCUCAACUCCUUAGGGCGACGCAUCUCUAGCUGAGUUCUGAGACCGGACUGAUCAGGCUACACUGGGACCUCGAGACACUGUCCCAGACUCGUACGGGUAGGCAGCAGUGUUGACUCUUGCACCCACUGGGCGCAGGCUUGAUGCAGGCAUGCCGCGUGUACUGAAGAAGUCCUUAGGGUUGUUAAGUACUUUCAGCGGGGAGGAAGGUGAUAAAGCUUAAUACCUUUAUCAAUUGACGUUACCCGCAGAAGAAGCACCGGCUUACUCCGUGCCAGCAGCCGCGGUAAUACGGAGGGUGCAAGCGUUAAUCGGAAUUACUGGGCGUAAAGCGCACGCAGGCGGUCGAUUAAGUCAGAUGUGAAAGCCCCCGAGCUUAACUUGGGAAUUGCCUCUGAUACUGGUUUGCUCGAGUCUUGUAGAGGGGGGUAGAAUUCUACGUGUAGCGGUGAAAUGCGUAUAGAUGUGGGGGAGAUACCGGUGGGGUAAGUCGGCUCCCCUGUGCUCCAAAAGAUUUUCGCUCAUGGUGCGAUCAUUUUUGGGAGCAAGGCAGGCAUUAGAUCCCCCCUGGUUUUCCCUCGCUAUUAUUUACGUUGUCGACUUGGAGUGUUGUUGGUCUUGAUCCGCGGCUUCACGGAGCUAUCUGCGUUAACAUCUACCGCCUGGGGAGUUCCGAGGUCGCAAGGUGGUGGACAUUCAGAUGUAUAUGACGGGGAGCCCGCAGACGCGGUGUUAGCAUGUGGUUUAUAUUCUAGAUGCAGCGCGAAGCACUCUUUACCUACUCUGUGGACAUCGGAGAGAAUCCUUUAGAGAUAGCUUGAGUGGCUUCGGGAACUAUAGAGACAGGUGCUGCAUGUCUGUCGUUAGCUGGUGUUGUGAAAUGUUGGGUUAACUCCCGCACGCUAGCGCAACCCUUAUCCUGUUGUUGCCAGCUGCGUGACUUAGGAUGGGAACUCAAAGGAGACUGCCGGUGAUAACCUCGGUGGAAGUGUGGGGAUGACGUCAAGUCAUCAUGGCCCUUACGAGUAGGGCUACACACGUGCUACAAUGGCAGAUACAAAGAGAAGCGACCUCGCGAGAGCAAGCGGAACUCAUAAAGUCUGUCGUAGUCCGGAUUGGAGUCUGCAACUCGACUCCAUGAAGUCGGAAUCGCUAGUAAUCGUAGAUCAGAAUGCUACGGUGAAUACGUUCCCGGGCCUUGUACACACCGCCCGUCACACCAUGGGAGUGGGUUGCAAAAGAAGUAGGUAGCUUAACCUUCGGGAGGGCGCUUACCAACUUGAUGCGUGU
RNAcentral lists this ribosomal RNA (1527 nucleotides) under Proteus penneri. RNAcentral's name for it is "partial 16S ribosomal RNA". It matches the Rfam family "Bacterial small subunit ribosomal RNA". The record is from RNAcentral. Lineage: Bacteria; Pseudomonadati; Pseudomonadota; Gammaproteobacteria; Enterobacterales; Morganellaceae.